GCUACGGGGUGCUGCAGUGGGGAAUAUUGCACAAUGGGGGAAACCCUGAUUCCGCGACGCCGCGUGAGUGAAGAAGUAAUUCGUUAUGUAAAGCUCUAUCAGCAGGGAAGAAAAUGACGGUACCUGAGUAAAAAGCCCCGGCUAACUAAGUCCCAGCCGCCGCGGUAAUACGUAGGGGGCCAGCGUUAUCCGGAUUUACUGGGUGUAAAGGGAGCGUAGACGGAAGUGCAAGUCUGGAGUGAAAGGCGGGGGCUCAACCCCCGGACUGCUCUGGAAACGGUACGGCUGGAGUGCAGGAGAGGUAAGUGGAAUGCCUAGUGUAGCGGUGAAAUGCGUAGAUAUUAGGAGGAACACCAGUGGCGAAGGCGGCUUACUGGACUGUAACUGACGUUGAGGCUCGAAAGCGUGGGGAGCAAACAGGAUUAGAUACCCGGGUAGUC
Molecule: ribosomal RNA, 440 nt
Filed under: uncultured bacterium
Lineage: Bacteria
Description: partial 16S ribosomal RNA
Rfam family: Bacterial small subunit ribosomal RNA
Source: RNAcentral